This 253-nucleotide ribosomal RNA is filed under the name uncultured bacterium. RNAcentral describes it as "partial 16S ribosomal RNA". It matches the Rfam family "Bacterial small subunit ribosomal RNA", at positions 524 to 776 of the family's 1533-position model. The record is from RNAcentral.
UACAGAGGAGCCAAGCGUUGUCCGGAUUGACUGGGCGUAAAGCGCACGCAGGCGGAUGCGCGCGUGGGGUGUGAAAUCUGGCCGCUUAACGGCCAGGCGCCAUCCCAUACGGCGCGUCUGGAGUGAUGCAGAGGUCGGUGGAAUUGCCGGUGUAGCGGUGAAAUGCGUAGAUAUCGAGAGGAACACCUGCGGCGAAGGCGGGUUGCUGGGCCGACACUGACGCUGAUGCGCGAAAGCCAGGGGAGCGAACGGG